Molecule: ribosomal RNA, 499 nt
Filed under: uncultured bacterium
Lineage: Bacteria
Description: partial 16S ribosomal RNA
Rfam family: Bacterial small subunit ribosomal RNA
Source: RNAcentral
AUUGAACGCUGGCGGCGUGCUUAACACAUGCAAGUCGAACGGUAAGGCGGGGCAACCUGGCGACGAGCGGCGAACGGGUGAGUAAUGCUUUGGAAUCUGCCUGUUAGUGGGGAAUAACUCGGGGAAACUCGAGCUAAUACCGCAUACGUCCUACGGGAGAAAGCGGGGGAUCGCAAGACCUCGCGCUAACAGAUGAGCCAAAGUCGGAUUAGCUAGUUGGUGGGGUAAAGGCCUACCAAGGCGACGAUCCGUAGCUGGUCUGAGAGGACGACCAGCCACACUGGGACUGAGACACGGCCCAGACUCCUACGGGAGGCAGCAGUGGGGAAUAUUGGACAAUGGGGGGAAACCCUGAUCCAGCGACGCCGCGUGUGUGAAGAAGGCCUGCGGGUUGUAAAGCACUUUUAGUGGGGAAGAAAAGUCUUGGGCUAACACCCUUGGAUCUUGACCUAACCCAAAGAAAAAGCACCGGCUAACUCUGUGCCAGCAGCCGCAGUAA